This 523-nucleotide ribosomal RNA is filed under the name Pseudomiopteryx guyanensis. Its description in RNAcentral is "partial 16S ribosomal RNA". Lineage: Eukaryota; Metazoa; Arthropoda; Insecta; Mantodea; Thespidae. The record is from RNAcentral.
GGUUUCUUGAGAUUGUUAAUAGGAGAUUUGACCUGCCCACUGAUGAGUUUAAGGGCCGCAGUAUAUUGACUGUGCAAAGGUAGCAUAAUCAUUAGUCUUUUAAUUGAAGGCUGGAAUGAAUGGUUGGACGAAGUAAAAACUGUUUUUUAUGGAUGUAUAAAUUGAGUUUAGGUUUUAAGUUAAAAAUCUUAAUUAUAAUUAAGGGACGAGAAGACCCUAUAGAGUUUAAUAAGUUGAUUAAUAGUAAUUUGGUUAAUAAUUAAUUUUAUGUUAUUUUAGUGUUUAUUAGAUUGGGGUGAUUUUAAGAUAGAUAAAACUCUUAAUUUUUUUUUAUUUUAUUAAAAUAUAUUUUUGAUCCAUAAAUGUUUAUGUUUAUAAGAUAAAAUUACCUUAGGGAUAACAGCAUAAUUUUUUUUGAAAGUUCUUAUUGAAAGAAGAGAUUAUGACCUCGAUGUUGGAUUAAGAUGAAUUUUAGGUGUAGAUGUUAUAAAAAUUAAGUCUGUUCGACUUUUAAAAUCUUACA